AGUUUUUGGUGUAUAUGCACAAUAAAUUUUGAUUUUAUAAGAAAUAAUUUUGAAUUAUUAAAACUA
RNAcentral lists this transfer RNA (66 nucleotides) under Ixodes hexagonus (hedgehog tick). RNAcentral's name for it is "tRNA-Gln". Lineage: Eukaryota; Metazoa; Arthropoda; Arachnida; Ixodida; Ixodidae. The record is from RNAcentral.